Molecule: long non-coding RNA, 393 nt
Organism: Polypterus senegalus (gray bichir)
Lineage: Eukaryota; Metazoa; Chordata; Cladistia; Polypteriformes; Polypteridae
Exons: 2
Source: RefSeq, a predicted model, not a curated record
CGCAAUUGAUGACGUCACAAGCAGGUCGAGUCGCCUGCCGUUUACGUGAACGCGCAUCCGCUCGUUCUCGUUUAUACGAACCUACGUACAUCUACUUGCCUUUUCUGUUCCUGUACCCAUUUAAAACCAUGAUUGGGCGAGGCUCUGGGUGGAAGACAGAAAGUGCGUGCUAAGGAGGGGAGGAGACAGGAAUGAAGGAAGUGUGUGUAUGGAUCGGGAGAUGGAAAAAGGAAGCAUCGAAAGUGAUUGAAAAGAGCAGUGUACGAAAAGGGAUAAAUGAAAAAUGUCUUUAUUUUAGAGGUGUGCCCAGCGACCUAAACAGCGGGCUGGGUUUUUUUUCCUUUUUGGCUGUUCUGUUCAUUUCUUGUUUUCAAUAAACUCAGCAUCUUUGGA